Molecule: non-coding RNA, 84 nt
Organism: Cerrena zonata
Lineage: Eukaryota; Fungi; Basidiomycota; Agaricomycetes; Polyporales; Cerrenaceae
Source: the annotation of a GenBank genome assembly
GGCCUGGUGGUCUAGUAGUAUGAUUCCUUCUUAGGGUUAUUGAUCGUUUGGAGGAGGUCCCGGGUUCAAUUCCCGGCCAGGCCC